Molecule: ribosomal RNA, 432 nt
Filed under: Selenomonas sp. oral taxon 140
Lineage: Bacteria; Bacillati; Bacillota; Negativicutes; Selenomonadales; Selenomonadaceae
Description: bacterial SSU rRNA
Rfam family: Bacterial small subunit ribosomal RNA
Source: RNAcentral
GACGAACGCUGGCGGCGUGCUUAACACAUGCAAGUCGAACGGAGCGAAUGAAAGCUUGCUUUUAUAAGCUUAGUGGCAAACGGGUGAGUAACACGUAGGCAACCUGCCGACAGGAUGGGGACAACAUUCCGAAAGGAAUGCUAAUACCGAAUGAAGUCAGAGAAGGGCAUCCUUUUCUGAUGAAAGAUGGCCUCUAUAUAUAAGCUAUCACCUGUCGAUGGGCCUGCGUCUGAUUAGCUGGUAGGUGAGGUAACGGCUCACCUAGGCGACGAUCAGUAGCCGGUCUGAGAGGAUGAACGGCCACAUUGGGACUGAGACACGGCCCAGACUCCUACGGGAGGCAGCAGUGGGGAAUCUUCCGCAAUGGGCGCAAGCCUGACGGAGCAACGCCGCGUGAGUGAAGAAGGUCUUCGGAUCGUAAAGCUCUGUUGA